Molecule: long non-coding RNA, 533 nt
Organism: Carassius auratus (goldfish)
Lineage: Eukaryota; Metazoa; Chordata; Actinopteri; Cypriniformes; Cyprinidae
Exons: 3
Source: RefSeq, a predicted model, not a curated record
UUAGGUCCGUUUUACGACAGCGCCAAAAGUGCCAAGUAAACGUUGGGUCUCGCUUGACUGUCGUCUUGCAGAUACGGUCCACAUCCGUACUAGGGACUUCAGUCAGAAGCGCCAAAAAACAAAAACAAAAUAUCAAACCAAGCUGUCAACGGAGAUUUGUCUGACAAGGUACCCAGACAGCACAUGUACGUCUGGCCGACGUCGGCCCAAUAUCGAAACGUCGGCCUCUAUACCUAAAACAUCUAUAAAACAUCGGCCUGGCGGAGGCCGAUAUCAUUUGGUCAGUGCUCUGUUCUCCAGCUCAUCAGUCGUCGGCCCUGAGUUGGUUCACGACCGCGGGCCGAUGCCGCGCUUAUCUGUGUGCGCGUGCCCAGUAUUCGUCUCUUUUAGCCACCCAGAGAGAGAGAAGAGGAUAAUCCCAGCGACAUCUGUGGCUCUGAGGCUUCCAGAAAUAAUCCGGUGAAAUAAUAUGAUGUUUGUUUGUGUGAAUGCUGUGUGUGCGGUGAGUCCUGCGCGAGCGGGGAGCAGAGUUG